UACGAAGGGUGCUAGCGUUGCUCGGAAUCACUGGGCGUAAAGCGCUCGUAGGCGGCUUCUUAAGUCAGGGGUGAAAUCCUGGAGCUCAACUCCAGAACUGCCUUUGAUACUGAGGAGCUUGAGUCCGGGAGAGGUGAGUGGAACUGCGAGUGUAGAGGUGAAAUUCGUAGAUAUUCGCAAGAACACCAGUGGCGAAGGCGGCUCACUGGCCCGGUACUGACGCUGAGGUGCGAAAGCGUGGGGAGCAAACAGG
This 253-nucleotide ribosomal RNA is filed under the name uncultured bacterium. RNAcentral's name for it is "partial 16S ribosomal RNA". It matches the Rfam family "Bacterial small subunit ribosomal RNA", at positions 524 to 776 of the family's 1533-position model. The record is from RNAcentral.